GAAAUGAUGUUAGCACAAGGAGUGGAACUGUCCAUCCAGGUGCUAUUGUAAUGAGAACUGUCAGAGCAUUUUUGUUAAAAGUUGAUCCAUCUUAUUUAUUCAAAUUGGCAUGAUAUUUAGCCAAAGAUUAAACAAUAUUGCCACGAAAAUCAUCUAAUAUGGUUCUCAUGACUUAAUAGGAAUAUCAUUAUUACAUCAAAUUCUAUUGAACAAUAAACAACUGAUUCAUAAAUAAGCUGGCAAUGCACCAUUCAUGGUGGAUCAAGAGAAUAAAGAGAGAAAUUUGUCCGCAAGAAAAUCCAGUAAUACUAAAGGGCACAUUGUUUUAUACUUCAUGGAUCAUCAUUGAGCAAAUCAACAUUAAGAACAAAGCCUGCAGUAUCAGACUAGGUACCAUCUGGGUCCAAAUGAUAACUCCAAUAGAAAAAAUAGUUAUGCAAUAAAAGGGAAAAAAAUCUAGGAAUGCUAAAUCUAUAUAUGCAAUGCUGACAGAUUGUUAGAAAGUUUAGUCAUUGGCUAUAAAGCAAAUUAACGCUUUAAACAGGUCUAGAAGCGUUGCAUCCCAUGCUUCCUGUUCAAAAGACCUGUUCAACUUUCUUGAACUCAAGGCAGUCUGCAUAGGGUGGUCUAUACAAGAAGAUGCACUUUCCAUUGGAGACAAUACAAGAUUUUAGCAUUUCCGUUCAAGAGACAGAAUCAUGUUUAAUGAAAGAUACAUGGCAAAUUACAGUUCUAAGUAGUAGACCACUUCUAAAUGCAAUUACUAUCUAACAAAAAUCACAUGGGGAUAAACCUUACCAAGUAGAGACAAUCCAAAUAGGAGAUAAAAAAUUUCACUGGCCAUCAAAAGAAAGAGUAGAAGAUUAGAGCUAAAGGACAUUACAGAAGUAGCACUGCUCUUUUUUUUGGAUAGAAGCAGUCUACCGAUACCUGGAAGCACAUGCUUUUAUGUAUUCAUUUCAUUCGCAUGAUGGUAAUCACAGAAAACAUUAUGCAUUACAUAUACGCAUUUUCAUACAGUAUGCAUCCAUGAUUUGCAUAUUACUUUCAUGGACACUCAAGGUCCAGUCAAAUAGGGGAUUAAAAGAUUGAUACUUGUCCCUCAAACAAAAUAGAAGAAUAUUAGAACUAGAGGACAUUAAAGUACCAUAAGCAAUUUUCUGAUCGGUACAGGCCUACUGGUAUCUGAAAGUACAUGUUAUUCUGUAUGCAUUACGAGCCCAAAAAUAAAAAAAAAAAGAGUUGCAUCACACACCGUUGUGGUCAGGCACAUCCACGCAGCAUGCAUGCCUCAUGCAUAUUACUACAGAGGACAAUCAUCGAUAUCCAGUCAAAUACUAAAAGCAACAGCCACAAAAUGUAUGCAACACAUUGACAAGGUCUAAUACAGAUAAAAAAAUACAUAUUUGUCGACCAAUCCACAGGAAGUAUGAUUCAUUUAAUCAAGGGCAGAUAAACAGGGAUCAUCUUUUGUCAAAUUCUUUAUCAGAAUUUGAAUGAAAGAAAACUAUAUUUGACCAUAAUAACAUGAAAUUAACAAAUCCAAAAACAUAGGCCUAGCUAAUGAUGUCAAAACACCAAAUGAUUAUGGUUAUUAAUUUGCAGUAAACUUCAUACGAUAAAGUAUUCAGAUGAUUAUUAUUGUAAGUAGCCCAUUUUCAAGGAUGGCCUGUAAAACGCUUACACUAAAGCAUAAUUCUAUAAUGACGGGAAAUGAAGAUAACUUUUUGGAAAGUUUUCAUAUGAAUUUGCAAGAGCUGACAAAAAAAAGUUUGAGUUUGAUAGGUAUUUAAGUUGGGCAGCUAGGUCCUAAAUCUUCCAUCUGCUAUCAUGCAUGUCUUAAAGAUGGUUGCAAUUUCCUAUGUCAAUGGCUAUCACCUACUCUCUUUAGUUGGAUGCCAUCCUAGAAUAAGAUAGAAUUCCUUGCAGGUCAAAUAUCCUUCUGGGUUUUGAGGAUAGCACAGGGCCCUUUCUCACCAGUAUUUGUCUUGCAUUGGAAUGCAGCACAAAUCUUUAAAUGGUUAGCAUCAAACUAACAUUUGGUCUUUACAAUUUUCUAGGUCCUUCAAUGGAAACUUCUCAAAAUAUUGCAACACUCCAUAGAUAAUCUCAUUUUGAUGAGAAAAGGCUUAGAUGAUGAUGACAAAUUCAUGUGUAUAUAGUAGCUAAUAAAACCAUAUAUCAAGCCGAUAAGCAAGUCACUUAGUCUCAACAUGUUCCUCAACCAUCUCAA
This 2233-nucleotide long non-coding RNA is filed under the name Elaeis guineensis (African oil palm). RNAcentral describes it as "long non-coding RNA (EGUI_LNC080805)". The record is from RNAcentral. Lineage: Eukaryota; Viridiplantae; Streptophyta; Magnoliopsida; Arecales; Arecaceae.